GGGGUAUUAGCUCAUUUGGUAGAGCGCUUCGCUGGCAGCGAAGAGGUGAGCAGUUCAAAUCUGCUAUACUCCACCA
This 76-nucleotide transfer RNA is filed under the name Candidatus Saccharimonadota bacterium. RNAcentral's name for it is "Candidatus Saccharibacteria bacterium tRNA-Ala". It matches the Rfam family "tRNA". Rfam says of the family: Transfer RNA (tRNA) molecules are approximately 80 nucleotides in length. Their secondary structure includes four short double-helical elements and three loops (D, anti-codon, and T loops). Lineage: Bacteria; Candidatus Saccharimonadota. The record is from RNAcentral.